UGAUAUUUCCCACCUCGCUCACCUCACUACUGAAUGGGCUCCUCCCUGUAUGCGCAUGCAUGCAGCUGCUGUGCCUGUCGCCCCAGCCCGCCAUAUGCCUGCUGCUGCUGCUGCGCCGCCGCCGCCGCGACGCCAUGGUGCCAUUCGAUGCGGCAAGACAUAAUCUGAGUUGAGGCUUAAGGGUACACUACAACACUGUAAGGAGGUCGCGUAAGGAGGCGGAGAUCCACAGAGAUUGGACGCGGAAUGCGCGACGGCGUGUCGCACCACUUACUGUUGCCGCUGGAUGUGGAUGCGCAACUCACGUAUUGUGCAUGUCCAUUCCUGUCCACCAUCCACCUUAGGGUAUUAAGAAUACGAGAUUCCGCUUCCCCCGUAGGGUGGUCCCACUCCCCAUUCACUCUGUUAUUUCCGCCAGCUCCAUAAGAGAGUGUAGUAGAAAGUAGACAUGGAGAUAUAUCAACUCACCACACCUCACCACCACCAUCAACCUUACUCGCAUUACAUCAACAGAGGAUGUCAAAUCAGGCCCUCGCUGUCCCUCAGUUGACAGCGAAAGCGUUAUCGUUGUUUACGGGUUUGUGAGGAACACGAUAUGAUUGACUGAUGGCGAAUUCUUCUCCGAUUCUAUUCCCCGGGUACUAUUGUGGCGGGGGCGGGGGCGGGGGCGGGGGCGGGUACUUACCUGCCAAUAAUGUCCUACACACUCACGCACACGCAAAUGCACAUGCACAUGCACAAACGCACAUACACACAUGUAUACACACACACACUCUCACGCACGCGCACCCCGGGGUUGGGGGUACCAAAGUUAACACAUAACCCCGUCUUUGAUGCCAGCAGGUGUUACGGCGUACGGCAUAUAUACGGCUGGAAGGGUUAGACCGGUGGCUUAUUGAAGCACCGGGGAUUUGUUUAGCACACAUACACACGUACAUACACAUACAUACACACACACUUGGGCACACACACAUCAGUGGCGGCGGUCAGUCAUCUCUCUGAAGUGAAUGUCUGAAGUACGGCCAAGUGGGUCCAUCCAGUUCUGCAAUUUGCCUGAGGGUGCCGUACAAGGGGUAUCAUCAAUGGAGCCGUUGGCUGAGCUGACGCCCGAACAUCAUGACAGCGCAUUAGUGGCGGCGGCGGCGGUGGGGGUGGGGGUGGGGGUGGCAACAGUGGCUGUGGUGCCGCCGCGCCAGCCUCAACGAUCAAUGCGGGCACUUGAUGGGCUUGCGCUUUCCGCCAGCCAUGGCUACCGCGCAUUGGAUGAUGACUGCGACGGCGAACGGGCCGCCAUUCAGGGCUACUCCAGUCUACGACAUGUCGUACAGUUCAACACCGACGCUGACACCGCACCUUUCAACGCUGCUUUCACCGCCAAGGCUCCCAAUGCCUCCGCUGCCCCCGCCGCCCCCCCCGCCGCCGCCGCCGCCGGGGAGCCGCCUGCCUCCGUAACGGCCGAUGUUCCCUCUUCUAGGGAAGCGCCACCACCACCACCGCCACCGCCACUACCACCACCACCACCUGCCAGCCAAGUCGCAGGAGAGGAUAUCGGCAACCUCACGGACCGGAUCCGGCGGCGCUCCCGCCAACUUCAUUGCAGUGCCGUACAUAUCACGCCGUAUAAGUGUCAUACCGACGUCACUGCCACCGCCACCAUCACCAUCCACGGCGACCAGUCGCGGCAGGCGCCCGUCAUCCCUUCUCCGGGAACUUCCCUGGACUUCGGCAACCAAGAACCGCUGCCGCCACCACCGCCGCCGCCGCCACCACCGCCGCCGCCGCCGCCAUCGGGCCCCGGGGGCAGUGGCGGGCUCCCUGGAGGGCGAACCUGUCCAACCACCCAGGUUAACCAACAUUCAGUACUGGACCUCGGUUACAACCACCAGAGCAACCACAACCAAUAUAACCGCUACGACCAAUCACAGCUGCAUCUACACCAGCCGCCAAACGAUGUGGUUUCGUACGGCGCCAACGGCCUUACAGACGGCGACUGCACACCCGGCACUGACUGCGCCACUACGCCCGCUACACGCGGGCAUGCGGCUGUGGAAAGGUUGGAAUCUGCGGGCUCUGCCGUGACAUUUGGGGCCGGCAUUGACGAAGCUGGCAAAGCAGCUGCGAGAAGGAGACCCAUUAGUGAUGGUGGUGGUGGUGGUGGUGGAGGUGGUUAUGGCGGUGGAGGUAAUGAUGGUUGUGGCGGUCGAAGAGGCAGGAGCGUGCAAGCCUCUAGCCCCAGCACUGGUGUCGUACUCGACUCUCACCUACGGCAGCCGUACACUGUCCAGUACCAUCAUCUCCAUCAGAGUCACCUCCUCCCCCCCGGGAACGACCGCGGGACUGCUCCGUGGGGCCCCCCCGGGUACGGGCCCCCCGCGGCUGCCCAGCCCGGACAGCCGGCCAACGGCGCGGGUGCCACCGCAGCCGGCGGAACGUCCACACAACUGCCGCCACAGGAGCUGAUGAACCGCCAGCAUGUGACAGCGCCGCAACUACCUCAACCGCCACUGUCAAGAGAAACGUACGGCACGGCGUACCAUCCCCGCUCCUUUGGGAAUCCUUUCCGUGCUCGAGGCUCGUCUGGUCCUGUAGCGGUCGCGGUGGUUGCAGAUGACGAGUUGACAGACCACGGGCCACAGGGCCACACAACGACUGGAAGCGGGUCCUUGCUUGGUGAACGGGAGAAUCUAUACGGCAACAUAAACAUGGUGCCUUUACAGGCUGCUGGCCAAACAAAGUACAGUGAUGCAGUACAGUCAGUCGGUACGGCCGUGCAGCAUUAUCCCAUUGAGGAGCUGCCGUCGUCACCGCAACAACAGCACUACUAUCGCCACCACCAGCAUCAACCCCUACAACAGCAACGACACCAUCACCACGAUCACCACAAUCAACCUUGGCUGCAGCGCAACCAUCUUCAUCCCCCCACACAACAACCUCGCUCCAACCUACAGCGUCAAGACUAUCACCGUCGCCCUCUUCACCAGCAGCAGCAAUUCCAGCAGCAGCAGCAGCAGCAGCAGCAUCAGGGUCCCUCUCCGGGUGCUAUGGCGGGGGGGAGUUCGCACCUCACUACUGCUACUGCUACUGCGGCACAAAGUCAUGGGCAGUACCCUGCAGCCCAAUCCAGCGAGAGACGCCGAAUGUACGAACAACAAAGACAACAACAGCAACAGCAGCAACAGCAGCAACAGCAACAGCAACAGCUACAACAGCAGCAACAGCAACAGCAACAACAGCAGCAACAGCAGCAACAGCAGCAACAGCAGCAACAGCAGCAACAGCAACAACAAAGACAGCAAAGACAACAGCGGCAGCAUAACCCGCCGCACUACCACCCGCACCAAUACCACCACCACCUGCAAAAUACCGCCUUCCAGACCUCCGCUGACAUCCCAAGCAGCGGUGCUGACACCGCCGGUCGCUUUGGCAUGUACGACAGCGUGCAUGGACAGGGACUUGGCUUUCCUCAGCCCGCCGUGGAGAGCCAACAGCAGCCCAGCACCCCUGCCGCCGCCGCCUCCCGGUAUGCCGACCUGGCGGAUCCAAUUGAAGGGCACAGUGCUGGAGGGCUGCGGGCGGAGCGCCGGGCGCUGUCGUCGCUCGACUGGCGGGGACCCUUAUCGGCGGCUCUCCAAGACAGCGGCGGAGGCUUUCCGGGCGGCGACCAGGGCGGUGUAAUGUACGGCAACAGCAUGGAUGUGUACGGCUUGACGCCAGCACAGCCCAACGAGGAUACCGAUGAUGUCCUGUUGACGUACCUGCACCAUGGUGGAUCUACCGGCGCCGCAGCUGCGGCCGCCUUUGGUGAAGCCCGCCUGUUGUACCCGCCGACUGCCCCCGACAACCCUUCAGCCACCGCUGCAGACUCAGCACCCAUGCGGAGCGCCUCCGCACCCGCCACCGUGAGCUCCUCCCAGAAUCUUACCUUUGCCUUCGGCAUGGGCGACGGUAAUCGCCGUACUGCAGCGUGGGUAGGGGAGGAGGUGCAAGGCCAAGCAGCUGCUGCCCUAGCUGCCGGGGGCAAUGUUCAGCCGACCCACGACUUCGGCGGAGCUGGACCUGUGAUUGAGGCUGCAGGGAGGAUCAGCACAAAGGGCCAAGGCAAACCGCGUCGUGGUGCAGCGGUGGCGGAGGUGGUUGCAACACCGUUGCCAGCAGCGCCACAUGCGCCGCCGCUGCCCGCAAUACUACUCGGGCCGCAAGGGGCAGCGGGGGCGGGGGCGGCAGGGACGAGCUCACGCGCACCGAAGCGCAGCGCCGCUAUGGCGGCCCUAGCAAGGUUUCACAGCUCGCGGCAGGGUCGCUCGUCCAGCGGCGACAGCCGCUCGGUGGCGGCGGCGGCGGAGGACAGCCACGGUGGCGGUGAUGCUGACGGCCAACAGGAAGGGGGCGGGGAGGAGGGGAACGGCAAGCGGCGGUCAUCCCGGUUUCGGGGGGUAACGAAGCACCGCCGCAGCGGCAGGUGAGGAGGCAAUGGCUCCCAGGGCGACUCCCUGGCUUCUUGCAUCGUUAUCUCCGUCAAACUCCAACAUCAAUAGAAAGUGCAGCAGCACCGGGCGCAUCUGUGUAUGCAAGUACUGGCAGAGAUCAGGUGUUCAUCUGGUACUGCAGUACUUGCUCACUAUCGUAUCCGCACCACCCAGCACCUAUUGCACAUGUGCCGUACGUACGUGACUUUGCCAGGUGGGAGGCGCACAUCUGGGUGAAGGAGAUCGGCCGUCAGGUUUACCUGGGCGGCUACGAGGAGGAGGUGCACGCGGCGGAGGCGUACGACGUGGCGGUGCUGAAGUGCAAGGGAACCAAAGUGCGGCCCCGCCACCACCCCAGCAAAGUCGCUGAUGUACCUGAUGUUGCUUCCAGAGAACAGUAUUUUCUAGUAGCCCGUAGUGGAGGAUUCUUGUUGAUGCGUCUGAUAUGAGAAACCCUUAAAGCCAGAUACCGCAAACACGGAUUGUCAGCUUCAGUCUGCACAAAAUGACAUUACGACAUAGUAGGUUAACAGUCCCCCCUGUCCAACCCCGUCAUCUCUCCCCAUUCGCCAAUUAAACCGACCUCCUCUCCGGAUGCCCUUUUCCCUUGACCCGUCCUGCCCGUACGCCCCGGCAGGGAGUGCGCACGAACUUCCCGAUCAGCCAGUACCAGGGCCUGCUUCCGUCCCUGAAGGACAUCGAACUGGAGGACCUCAUCAUGGCCGUUCGGCGCCAAAGUCAGGUAGGUUGAAAGAGCUCAUUAUGCUGUUGUGGACAUCAAUCAUUACGUGCGUAGCUAGUAAUUGACCAAUAGUGUGUUUCCUGGUUAAACCACCGAGAAACAAGGGAGCCAAGCCAGCUGGCUCCUUGUACUUCAUCAUCUUGUGCCGUACUGACCGGUGUCGUACAAUGAUGCACUCUAUUGGCCACAUUGCCAUGUGGAUGCAGGGCUUCAGCCGCGGCAGCUCCACGUACAGGGGCGUCACGGCGCAUCUGUCGGGGCGCUGGGAGGCGCGUAUCGGCAUCCCUGGAAGCAAGCACAUCUACCUGGGGCUGUUCGAGAGCGAACGUGACGCCGCGGCCUCGUACGACAGGUCGCUGGUGCGGUUGCGUGGCUCUUCCGCUGCGACGAACUUCCCCCUCUCCGAGUACCGCCGAGAGCUUGCGGAGUACCACAGCUACCAGCAGGUGCGCAGUAAGGUUUCGUCAACAGGCCAACUGUGACAGCUCUUUGCGUUGCUGAAGUUCGUUCAUCCAACUUUGCGUGCUGCUGUUGGCGCACAUGUGCUCCACGCAGGCACAGGCUUCAGCAGGUAGUAGUGUGUCCUUGUUAUUUCUUGCUCAUCUCCAGGUCAGGUUCAGGAGUACAUCGCCAUCCAUGGGGCGCCUCUUCACACGCCCCACUGCGCGCGCCACACACUGCCGCGCCAUGGCGGAUCAUCCUCAUGUCCGCAUCCGCAAUAUCGUACUGCCGGCACACCCAUCCCUGCCGUACAUACACAUACGCAUGCAGGCCGUCUUGCUCCAGGACCAGCGGAUGGCCUCCCUCAUGAAGCCCGGCCCCGACUACGAGAAGUGGGUCAAGGCCGGGUUCAGUGCCUUCCCCCACAUCCAGAUGGAGCAGGCGGCUGCAGCCGGGGAGGAAGCCGCCGCGCGAGACCUGGAGCUCAAGCGCUCUUGAGUGCUCAAUACUGCGGCCUGAGGGGGCAGCAGCUAUUACAACACGCAAAAUCACAGCUAUCACAGCCACCAUGCAUGGCCAUGGCGGCGAUUGAAGAAAUGCCUGCGCCGCAGAGGUGUCGAGGUGGCCGUUACUGGUGGUGUAAAGGGGGCUCACGGCAGCUGGUGCAGGGUGCUGCAUGUGGUUUGGAUGCGUACGGGUGCGUACCCCGUACCCAUACAGCUGGGAGUGUGCGCAGGUAGCUUGGAUGGCAUGGAGAAGGUGGAUGACAUGGUGAUCAUGAGAGUGCAUUUGGGGAUGUUCUAUUUGUGUUUUUGGCUGCCAGCCCGGUCUUCCAACGUCCUGGCUAGUGCAUGUUGGUUGCGUGUCGGCGAUUUCAGGUAAAACCGUUGUUUUGUUUACCCCUUAAAUGGUCUAGGUCGUGAGUUUCUUUUUUUACUCUAGAACCGUCGCCUUGGAAAUAACGACUGCCUCCUUACGGCCCGUAAAGCCGCUGUGUUUGCCAUCAUUUCCCAGUGGCGAGUGAAGAGGGUGAUCCGUGUUGGCUAUUUGACGGUUGGAACAAGGCCAGUCGCUACUUGGAACAAGUGCAAAUUCGUACUAGUCAGUCAUAUGUUGCGAUGUUUAGGCAGUUUAGGAAGUUCAGGAGAGAGAAGUGUUGCAGCUGUGUUGGCUGUUGUCAAAUCAUCGUUCCGCCAACAGCUGAUUAGCAGUAGCCGGUUGUUAGCGGCAGCUUGCUUAGUUGCUGGCGAUUGAUAGUUGCUGUUGUGAUGAUGGGGCCGGGCGUUGGAGGCUAGCUGCAGCUGCUCGUACUAAAUGCCGCGGCUGUGGUGGCAGGCGUCUCGUUAUUCGGCUCUCUCCGGGGCGUUAUAAAAUUAGGCUAUAACUUUUAGGUUGGUAGGCAGGAGCUGCCCCCAUGGGAUUGAAGGAACAAAUCAUUGGUUGGGUUGGCUGCGCGGAGGCUGCUGGCUUUUGAACGCGGUUAUAUGUUUUCGAGGGUUUCAUUCUUCCAUUAGCUCGUCGUAAUAUAAUGCAGAUUCGUUUAUGUUGCUGGACUUUGGAGGCAAACAGAGCCCGAAGGGGCAAGUACCAUGCACGUCCCCAUGGGGCAGCGGAUUUGCCGCUGUUGUGGAACCAAUAGCCAGGUCGAGGAUGAAAAAUAUAUGUUAAUGGAAUGCCCAGCUUAUAAAUACUAUUUUACGCGGAAGAAGGAUUAAAUUAUUAACAGAGCAUGUUGGAGGCCAUGAAAUGGAAGCGAGCCCGUCCUGCCAGUGGCCUGUCUGGCGAGGAUGUUGGAACGUAUGUGGGCUCACCGCAGCCCAGUUAUCCCCUUUGGGCGACAGGUCUUUUUUCUUCUCCUGUUAGUGCGGUUUUUCUUAUUUGUGGCUUUUAGGCGUUGAUGCUUUGCCUUCGGGCCUUCAGCUCAUAUGGGUAGUCUUACAUGUAUAGGGUCACGCAUCCCCAACCAUGUAACGCACACACAUACCAGACCUACCAAUGCUUGCCGCUGCAUUGCACCAACCUACAUUUCACCUGCCGACGCAGCGGAAGUAAUCUCAUGCAAACAUCCGAAGUGACCACCACCACCACCGCCAUGGGCGCCAAGGCCGUACACGUCACCAGAGUCAAUGUUCCCACAAGGAUUGACAGCACCACCAGCCAACGACACUACCGCCGCCAACGACACUACUGCUACUGCCACCGCGGCUGCAGUCACGGAUGUCGCCUCUCGUCCACCCAGCGUAUUCUUGAGGUCUCUAGUUGCAAGCUUGCAGCACCGCGGCGGCAGCAGUGCAGUAGCUGGCCGCUGAAAAAGCCUCUCAAGAAGGUGGUCGAGCGCUUCGCGCGUAUUUGUAGUCGAUAUGUGUGUAUUGCCCAUCCGUCAUUCGAUUAAGUCCGCGUCCUCUUCUGUGGAUCCUAAAGAUCCCGAGGUGUUUUAUCACAGCGCAUAGUGUCGUACAUGCAUGUGCCGUAUGCAUGACUCACCCAAGAUUUGAGGCGUACAUCCAGAGGAUGGCGGUGGGGAUCUACCGUUGCAUUUACAACGAGGUAGAGCAUGCGGAGUGUAAUGGUGUACGACAUCCUUGCAAUGAAGUUCAAGGGAGCCAAUGUACGGCGAUGAUGUAUGUUGUUACACGGUGGUAUAGCUCCACCAGCGGCCCCCUUCCCCAAGGCAGCUCCCUGCUCAGGGGAGAGCCUGCUAGAGGGGCACCCUAAUCCGUUCACCCCAUCCGACUUCAGAAUGUAUUCGUUGGGUUCAGCAACUCAUCAUGAACAUCCAGUUAAAUCCAGCGGAUCAACGGCGCCUCAACUUCGUUUCUGAUUAGCUCGCAAGUUGAUAUUAUCACUUCCUAUACCGUCCACGAGAUGGGGAGCCACCUCCCAUUUCAACUCUCCUCAAACACCCGAGGAGCCGGCAGGCAGAUUUGAAUCCGAACGCUUCGGGAACAGAAGUCAGGCCUUAACCUCUGCCAGCCGCCUGCCUAUUUCGACAGAUGUACAAAUAUGUGCCACGUCACCUCAACUGAAUCAUCACUGAUGCUCUAAAUUUCCAGGACAGCACACGCUGACUUGACCACACACCAUAUUAUGUCCAUAUUAUGGAACUCCCUUUUCCUUACACCUCUUCUGGCCGGGGUGUGUGCACCAACCUCUCCCGAUCAGUAGGACCUGAAGUGGGGGCCCAUCGCGUUAAUGCAUAAUGAACUUCAUGCAUACCUCGUAUAUAAUAAGCCAGGUGUCUGUAUAUACAUUUGUGUACGCUGUUUUCAAAUGUAUGGUCCUAUUUAUGUAGGCCAGGCAGUACUGGUAACGCACACACCGAUGCCCCCAGAGAUUCCAGGAUCGAGAUUUAGUAGAGGCGGUAAUUUAUUCAAUGGUGCUAGAUUAUAGUGCCCCUAGUUGAUGGUUGGUGGUGAACUGGGACUUAUUAGACUAGUGAGGUGACCAGGAAUAGAGUUGAGCUGCCUUUCCAAUAGAUCCAUUGGAUGCCGGUGGUGGGUGCUGAACUUGAGUAAUCUAACGAGAAGUCGACUAGGGUGACUAGAUGAGGGUGCCCCAAAAUACCGGGGAAGGCAGGGCUUCGCCGGGUAGCGGCGACGGGUGAAGAUAUGACCCCCCUGUCCCACACAUCAUAUGGUUAUGGAAUGAAGGUAUACAGAUAUACAGAUAUGCCCUUAUAUCCUUUCCUUGUCUCUGGAUGUAGACACACCCACCUACGUAGACGCGCUCACACACGCACUGUGCUGUGUGAUUGGCUAUAUACUCCGGUGAGUGCGCACACCGAGCGAGGAUGGAAUCAACAUUGUCGAACACCACCGCUGCCAGUAGCUUCGUUGGUAUAUCUUCGCCGGGAGACAUUGGCUAUUGCAUUACAAACUUUAUGUUAUUAUUAAAGGGUUUAUACAGAGCCUUUCGAUUCACCUUCACCACCUAAAUAAAAUGAUUAUUUGGGACCCAGAAUGAAAGAAAAGUUCACGUCAUCGUAUAGAUGAGUUAAUUAUAAGGACGUGUUCACAUGUGGGCGAAUCAGGGUUGAUUCAUGCGAAUUGGACUCUGAAUUGGACCUGAUUGGACCCGAAUCGGAAUUGGGGUCCGGGGGGGCCUCUUCGGGUAUGAUUCGACGUGAUUCACAGUUUUCUUUCUCAAAACAAAGUUGUUUAACAAACCGUUUCUCAUAAUUACCAUUACAAUACUAUAGGAACAUUUUCCAAUUGUUAAUUCACGCAAAGCGCACCGAGCAUUUUUCACGAACUCCUGCAGCUAUGUAUGUACAAGCCUGGUGAUAAUUUUCGCCAUAGAAACGAUACUUAUACUGUUCUGUUCCUAGAAAAUGCUGGCUUGCCUUGGGUGAUGGGGCGUAGCCGCGGAGCUUCAGCUGGGCGCGGUGGCACCUCGCGCCGUGCAGCGAAUCGUAUGUGAACACAAUUCAGAAAGCCGCCCCGAAUCGGACUCCCAAUCAGACUCUCAAUUGGACUACAUGUGAACACACCCUAAGUUUAGGUGACCACACGAUCCACACAGCUACUUCAGCACACUCAAGAUAUGAAGGAAAUGGCUGGUAAAGCUCCCUUAAGACCUCAAAGAGGCCCCAUUUGGGUGUUGCGAAAUAAUUGCUAUCAAGGGCCAGCAGGCUCGGGCCGGCGGCGGGUCUUGAGGUGCUGGAACACGAUAAUAGACGCGACGGGUACGCCGCCGCAACUUCACCCUACCAUUCGCAAACGCUGCAAACAGGGAUAUUACGAUAACCAGCAGCAGACAACAAGCUGAUUACAUACUUACUCCGGCUAACCGGUCCUCAUAUAUUUUAGGCAAGCCCUUUUUUUCACAACAAAAACAUUUGUUGGCCAAGGCCUACACAUGUACAUAGACAGCAACCGGCGGUAGUUCGACACACGACCAAAGCAAGGCCAACAAAAGCAGAUUCAAGUUACCAUUUGCAGCCUUCUUAAGGAAACACGAGAUAGAACCAAAAAGAUAUAACGCAGCCAAACUAAUUAGUUUAAGCUUAGAAGCUUUUGGCUUUCCCGCAUAUGAAUGUGCCUUGAUGGAAUUCCAUCAAGGCACAUGCUUCCGGAAGGCAGUGGGAUCGCUCGUGCAUGAUUGUGUGUGUGGUUGUUACAUGAUUGAUGUAUGGUUGCAAUUCUAGCUCGUCUGUGGGAAGUCUUAUCGUCUAUAGAUCGUGCCAUUUCCUUUAUUAAUGGCACGAUUGAAAGUCGAUAAAAAAAAUAUACAGACGCAAGCGAGAAUCGCUGCUGGCUACAUCCAUCAGACUCACGCAGUAACAGGACGGAGAUGCAAUCGCUUGGGAAAAAGGGGAUGGCGACCGAAUGACUAGGUAAGCAAUACAACCCACUGUAACAACCACACCACCUAAUACAACCAAACACACAUGUGCAUUUCAUGGGUCCACAAUCCUUCGCAGAAGAAGGACGCAGAAGAUGACGCCGAAGAACGGGAACCACGCAUGCGAUACCGUGAAAGGUACUCGACAGAUGCGCCUAUCUUCACACAGAUAGGCCAACAACACUUCCAAAAACAAGCCAAUAUCGGUCAAUAGCAUUCAGAGAAUUUGAGAACAGGGCAAGCUGUUGAGAUGAGGAGUUGAAGUCUCGAUUGAUGGGCAGAGAUUCGCAUAAUGGACUGAUGACGACCAUUGUACCCUCUAUCUCUAUGGAAGUUCGGGUAAGAGGAUAGGUGGGAUUCCAGAAGACAAACCAUCAGCCUUGGAUUUGCAAGCAAGGGCCACAUUGCACCAGUCACAACAGCAAGUCGAUCUAGUGGGAGCUACGUACCUGGGCCUUCCCCCCAGUCCAUUAUUUAACGAGCUUUUGGGGCUGAAGCUCAGCAGCCUCCGGGCUUUUAAGGAUGGACUUCCCAACGACGUUGCUACUUUAAACUUCUUGCCACGAACCUCACUGCUGGGCUCCAAUAGACCACCUUUGCUAUACAUGCAUUCAUGGACGGCCGUCCAAUGACGCCCGAAUGAAGCAUCGCAACGUGAUACGCGUGGAUCAACACAUCUAUCGCAUUUUGCUCGCUCCGUUUCAGUCACUAAUAAACGGGUAGGAGAGCAGACGGGGAGACAAACAAACAAACCAACUGGCCGACUUCAGUAACAAUUAACUUCGAAAUGGGCCUUGCUUAGAUCACCAUAUGUAUGUACUGGCUGAUUAUUCAUCACGACAGCUACAGCACUGGUGCAAGAAAACGUGGUGGAGGUUCUACUUGUCCCUGGGCAUAAGAAAACUAGUGACGCACCGGAAAACAAUGAUGCUAUUCAAGUGACCAUAACAACAGCCGAAGACCGGAGUCUAAAACGGAUCGCAAGAAACUGUGGAAGUUGUCAGGAACUUAGGGAAUCACAUUAAGUAUUUGUGUACCGACGGCCUUGCGCCUUGCUGGUAGGCGGCUCGGUAGGCUAUCCAUGUGUGUUUCGGUGUUAGACCGUGAGGGGCGAUGUGAGGCGGCCCCGCGCCGCCUCACGCAGGCCCCUCAGCAGGGCGGAGAGCAGGUGGGAGCUCACCUCAACCACCUCCAUCACCUGAAGAUGAUCGGGUGAGGUGGUUGGGGAGUUGAGGUGGUCAUGUAUGGGUAUUUAGGUGGUUAGGUGGUCAACAGGGAAUGAAUACAUCUCCCACCACCAGGUGAUAGUGCUAUCAGGUGGUUGGUAAGGCGGAUAGUGAUGUUGCUGGUGGUGCUGGUUGGUAAGCUUUGGGACAUGUGCAGCAGCCGGGGCUGCAUGGCCGGCCAGGAGCUCCUCAAGUCAGGUGAGCGAGUGUAUGUGGUGGGCACAUGCGGCACAGGUAAGGCAGUCACAUUAUGACCCAAGUCUCGUUAUUGGAAAGGGAGCAGACUUGGACACUCCUCCUCAUGGGUACCAUGAUGCCUUCCCCGCUCUUUCUCCGCCCUCCUCCACGGCUACCAGCUAGCACUCCACGACUGAGGCUCUCCUCCCUAGACAGAAACCCCCUACCCCACUUGCUUCUCCCCAUUCGUACCUGGCCAGUCGUUGGAUCGUCGUCCCCCUCCGGGAUUCCCGCAAUCACCAUAACGGGGUUAGGCAGGUCCCCGGACAACACCACAACUGCGCAUUGCUCCGCGUCCAGCCCGAGGUCUGAAAGGAGGGAAGCCAGCGGGAGGAAGGGGACCAGAGGAAAGAGGGGUUUAGACAAAGGGCGGGAAAAGCAGCAGCAGCAGCAGGGGGAUGAAGACGAAGGAAUAGUAGGGAUGGCGGUGGAGUGGGGCCACACUGUCUGUCCCCCAUACCUCCCGAUUCCCCUCCCCCCCACCUCCGCUUUCCCCCCCCAACCCAUCACCUCCCCUCCAACCCCCUGCCAACCUACUCGGGUUUCGCCACGGCUCCAGCCCCCACUGUACGGACAACCGAAACACCUCGUCGGUUUGCAGUACAUCACGGAUGGAGGUCCAGGGGCCCCCUCCCCAGUACUUGGCCUGGCCGGGAUGCGGCAUCACAAGAGCCGCCUCAACAAGCAAGGACAAUGAGCUUGUAGCAUGGGACUCCUGGUACGCCUUGACUUCGGGGUCCGAAUGCGGCGGUGGCGAAGUGAGCACAAGGGUGCCGCCCUCGGUGGGAAUCUGAACGGGUGGGUGGAGGAAGGCCGGUAAACACAGAGUGAAGGUUCCAAAACGGGAUAACCGUUAAAUGGAAGCCGGAGUGGGGGGAAGGGCACUGGGAGGAAGGAUCGAAGGGAAAGGGGAGUGAGAAGUAAGGUUUGGGUGAGUCUUGCAGCUGGCCAUGUUGCAGUACCUUCGUUCACAACCCAAAACACCUUGGGUUCUCUAAACGCCCACACAGUCAAAACAGACGUCUGCCGUCUGAACAAACACAUCCGUUUCCAAACAUUCAAUUAGUCAUUUCUUCCACCUCCGCUGCACACACCCAUGCGCCCAUGCACACACCUGCACCUUCGAGCUGGUAGCCCCCCACAUUGCCGUAUUGUUCCCCAAGUUACGUCGGGGCUGAAGCUGGUCAAGACCGCGGGCCUUGCAUGUGGGACUGUUGUACACCCGGAUCGACCACCUGGGGGGAUUGGGGGGUUGACGAAAUUCAAUACGACGGAUAAAGGUAGUAAAGGGGAUGGAGAGAAGGUUUCCAUGAUGGGUUUUAGCCUGGCCUCACAAAGCGAAGUGCCGAGGGCUUGGUUCUAUGGUCCCCGCCUGAAGAGGCCAUUCCAGGAGCCCGUUGAGGCCGUGCAGGUGCUGGGGACGGGUCGGCCCUCCCCCAGCCCUCCUCCCCCCUUUUCGCCCUUAACUGCCUCCUUUUUCACACUUCCCUCGCUCCCCGCCCCACCCUUUCAGGAGGCAAUUAAGACGGGAAUCCAUGGCAAUGACGGCAUAAAUGAUGAUUUCGAAACCCUCCCUCCCUUCACCUUCCCUUGCCUCCGCUACCCCGGCUAUUGGGGUAUAACUUGACGGCAUCCUUCACUUCCAUACUCCAACGUUCACCCCAAACCCACAACCUCUCUCCACGCCCUGAAAACACCCACUCACUUCCACGUGGCCAUCUGUGCCUCCAUGAUGCCGUACGCCCACGCCACGGACGCCUGCACCAUGUGUCUUCCGGGCACCCCCUUAGUCACCUCCUUCCACGCCGGAUAGUCCACCAGCGGGAUCAGGGCCAGCACGCGGUCUUCGGGAAGGAAGGCGCGGGCGCUCUGAGUCUGUGGGGAGGGAGGGUGUGGGGAGAUCAGGAAGGAAAGAGCGAGGGGCGGGGAAGAACUGCAAGGAUACUAAUGAAUAUAAACUGUGACGUGCUGUUAUAUCACGACUACAACUGCUACAGAAAAGCACCGAUCGACAGGUGCCCAUCCCGAGGUAUGAUAUGCCCGGAAUACAUCACAUUUAAAGGGCGGGAAGGGUUUUCGAGGAGAGUCCGCAGAGCCAGAAUGGAACCGAUUACAAGGCAGAAGGAAAGGGCGACUAAGGGACAGAGCGCAUCAAGGCGGUGAAGUCUCUUCCCGUCCCCUUACCCUCCCAUGGCCUCAUCCUCUCCCUCAUCCCCUCAUUCUCGCUCUUUUCUUUCCUACCGCCGUCCCCUUCCCCUCCCAUGGUCUCAUCCUCUGCCCUCCUGUCGCCCGCAUGCGUUACCUGGUGAUUGUUGAGCAGCACAAACGCCUUCUUGGCGGGGCUGUCCGCCUUCUUGAUGUCGCUGAUGAGGCCGCUGCGGUCCAUGGUGAUCCACAUCAGAUCCUUACUAAUCAUGGCCAGGUAACCAAUGCCGUCAGAGGGGUGAUCGCGAAGAACCCUGAAGGGAUUGUGACAUACAAACGGAUGGACGGGUAGGGAGUCACACUGACUUACAUAUACGGGCAGGCAAAAGCCUCAAUUGAACCUCGUUUCAUAUCGCAUACAUGCAUAUAUACAUACGCAUAUUAUAGGCAGGCGGCUGGCAGAGGUUAAGGCCUGACUUCUGCUCCCGGCCGACCCGGGUUCAAAUCCGCCUGCCGGCUCCUCGGGUAUUUGAGGAGUGUUGACAUGGGAGGUGGCCUCAUAUGGACGAUGUGGGACGUGAUAAUAUCAACUUGCGAGGUAACCAGGAACUAAGUUGAGGCGCCAUUGAUCCGCUAGAUUUGGAUGGAUGCUGGUGUUGAGGUGCCGAACCCAACGAAUACAUUCUGAAGUCGGAUGGGGUGACGGAUUAGGGUGCCCCUCUAGCAGGGGAGAGCAGGGACUGCCCCGGGAAAGGGGGCCGCUGGCGAAGUUAACCACCCUGUAACUACAUACGCACUUGAUAAUGCCGGUGUAGUCUCCCUCGUAAAAGCCCUCGAGUGCCUUGUCACCGAACUUGAGGUACAGCGGUCCCAGCUUCGGGUGGCUGUUCCAGGGGUUGAAUUCGGUCCAGUCCACCACAUGGAUGCUCUGAUACGAGUUGACUUGGCCUUUAGGACCAGAGGCGGGAAAUACAUGCAAAUUUAGGACAAAGAUCAAAUUUGUAAAAUGCUGCAGAGAGAGCACAGUGGAGAGGUGGAUUGCGAGAUGGAGAGCGAGGAGAACAGUGAAAUGCAGAUCAAAGGGACACGAUCAUUGAUGACCUCACCAUAGGGAGGGAGAUGGAGGGGGGGGGGAGGAAAUGUGAGGGAGUGUUGCUGCAGGGGGAGAGUGGGGGAAAGAGAUUAUCCAUCCCCCACACGCACGGAUCCCACCUGCACCGCCAUCAGUGCCUCUCCUUAACGGAUGCCCACCCCACACACACACAAACCCGCACCCGUACGUACCUUCCCCCCUCAGCGGCCACACAGACAGGCUGUUGGCUGCCACCGCCUCCUGAAUGGUCCACACACGCCGCAUGUACGAGUUGUUGACCAACAGAGCCUUAACCGCUGACCGGCUCAGUAAACUAACACCCCCUGAAGUGGAGCACGUCAUUAGGCAAGGCCAGUCAAAGUCAAAGAUUGGCUGUACAUGCGCCUGGUGGUGAGAGAUGGUGCUCAGAUGGAGCCCACACAUGGCGGACUCCAUACCAUAUAUAUGUAACAUAUCGUCGUUUAAAUUCAAAUAACGUGAGGCACACAUCAUUGUGGCUGGCAGGAGUUAAGACUUGGUUUCUGCUCCCGGAGAAUCUGGGUUCAAAUCCGCCUGUCGAUCUCUCGAUGUGUGAGGGGUAUUGAAGUGUGAGGUGGCCCCCCAUCUUGUGAACGGUGCAGGACGUGAUUACAGCAUAUUGUAAGCUGGCCAGAAGUUGAGGCGCCGUUGAUCCGCUAGAUUUGGUUGGAUGUUGGUGGUGAGUUGCUGAACGCAACGAAUACAUUCUGAAAUUGGAUGGGGUGAAUGGAUUAGGGUGCCCCUCUAGCAGGGGAGAGCAGGGCAUUGCCUCGGGAAAGGGGGCCGCUGGUGAAGCUAUACCACCCUGUAACAACAUCACAGGUUUGAUCCAAGUCGAAUGCCCCCCAGGUCACCUGCCUCUUCCACUAGUAAGGUGGCAGCAAUUGCACGUGCAAAGCCAAAUCUCUCCAUACAAACAUAUGCAAACGUACACAAAGGGACUCACUGUACGAGUCCAUCUCGGAAUUGUACUGCUGUACGAUGCUGCGCGCCUCCUGGAGUAAAGAAGGUGUCCAAGGGUGAGGAGCCGCGACGUAGGGACAUAUAUACAUGCAUACAACACGUGCUUAAGCAGCGUCUGGUAGCUCAGGGGCUUCAUGCAGUGAGCGUACUCCAAGGGUUUUGAGAGGGGCAAAGUGUAGGAGCCUAGCUCACUUAUAACAUACGGUAAGGAAGAUGCUGACAAGAAUUUCCGCCAAACCCAAAAUACUUGUUGGCAUGGUGACCCUCCAGCCGAACCAACUAGCAAGAGAAGAGCAAAGGAUGGUGAGGUAGCGAAGCUACAGCAUUAGCCGCGGACUUAACCCUGCAAAGCCAGGAAGAGUACAACCGCCAAGAACUAUUGCGCAGCCCAGGUUCCAGGUUCGCAGCAAACGGGCAGCUUCAACCCACUGGCAGCAACACGCACCUUGGCGUUCAUGAUCUUGCCUGUCGCGUAGUCCACAACCGGGGCAAUAAUCACAUACACCUGACAUAGCAAGGAAAGGGAAAGGGCCCUCAAGAAUUAAACGAAAUAAAAAGGGGGAUAUCAAACUAGCAAGGGUAGGGCAUGUAGGUGUUGUAUCACGUCUUAUCGCAGUAAAAGAACCGAUGGGCGGAUAUCAAUCCCGUGAUACCCAGGAUACUACAGUAGGUAAGUAAGCAGUUAAACCGUAAGUGGGUGAGUAAGGACCGUAAAUGGGCGAGCAAAGGCUUUCUGUGAUUGAGAGAGGUCCGCAUUAGCACCCUUGCUGUCCUUAGCUAGCUUACUUGUCCGGCUGUGUAGAUUGCGGGGCUUUCCUUGAUGUAAUUCAUCUUCUCCUCCAGGUUCGCCAGGUCCUUGAGGGUGGAGGAGGGGGGGGGUAAGGUGCAUUGAGGGGGAAGUAAAGGCGGGAUGUGAGAUACAUGAUGAAGUGCAAAGACAUCGACUGCCAAUGUUAGCCAAGCAAUUCAGAUCCCAGAGGUCCCCUGCAACCUUGCACAGGGGGUCAAUUGAUUGGGACAAGGAAUCUCCCUUUUCUGAAGGGAUGCAUCAUGCAGGGUGAGAGACCUGCCCCUACAAUGCACCAACAUUCCCAGCUACCCAGACAGCCAGAGACAACCUAAACCAUACCUGCGGUACACACAUCUGAUCCACCCAGGCAUACUUGGCUUUUUUGUUGGUGUGCAGCCACAACAGCCAGGCGGCGACCUGGGGGGGGGAGCAGCAGGUAGCAGUAAUGUCAGAAGAUGUAUUUGUCAAAAAUAGCACAAAUAACAGCAGCAUCGGCAGCAGUGGAGGUGGCAGGUGGCGGUAAUAGUAGCGGUAAUACAAACGGUCGCAAACAGGUAGGCAAAGCAGAAGAUAUGGAAAGGACGGCAGCACGAUUUCUUCAGCGAUUACUCUGCGUCCAAGGAGGACCACUUUGCGAUGGCCAACAAUCACGCACCUCAAUUUGUAUGGCAUGGCCGUCCGCUAAGGACCAGUUGACAGGCACUGGCCCAUUAUCAGGCAGGUCGUGAACCGAAUAGCCCUCUCUGCCGCAAUCGGAUAUCCACGUCUUGUAGUCGUUGAUAUUCUCAGCGCGGCCACGAACGCGCCAUCGGUAAGACAGCACGGCUGCGUUCUGCAGGCAUUUAUGAGGGCCAGGUUGGGCAUGGGAAGGGGAUUCCGCAAGGCGAUCCUGACCAAUAAAAGCUUUCGGAAGACAAAGAUUCCGUCCAGAAAGGCAUCCCUAAAGGUACGAGAUGUUAACUCGCAUUAAGUUGAGCCACUUGCUCGCUUCGUCCGAAACUGACUUCCCUGACGUACCGCUUCGGUCUUAUCGGUAAUGUAGCACCAGCGCUUUUGCCAUGCAUCCUUCUGGUAUGGCGUCUCGGUACCAGUUCCUUGCAGCUCCGACAGUAUCGCCGGGACAUCAUCUAUCUUCAAGUAACGCGGCAUCUUAUCUCACCACCUUACAAGUCAAGAUGUGAAAGGAAACGUAACCAGCUAGGUACUUAAGGAGAGUUCAGUUUUAGCAGCGUUAUAUAGUCACAAGCUUCCGACAUUGUACGGCCUAGGCGAGCAGUUGACGAGCCGAGCGCACCAGUAAGCCGAGCUGAAAGGGAGAGUGAAAAACAGCAAGGUAGAAAAUUAUAUUUUAAGCUUUAAAAUUACAGACCUGAAUAGGAAUGAUGAAACGCGAGUUCUUUGGGCCAUACGACCAGCUCGGACGAGAUCAGGAUGCGAUUGCAUCAGAGCGCGCUUAACCUUGGCAGUGUUUUUAAGUAUUAUACAAAUGUCACGCAUAUUGACAAAAGGGGCUGAACGGCUAUGCCCAUCGGCACUUCCCGGGUGCAUGGACCGCCCGCCAAAUUUAGUUUUGGCAUGUUUUUAAACUUUGACUUAGGGUUGUUAUUAUCGGCAUUUUCCGGAUGAUAUACAGCUAGUUAAUUUGAUAAGUAAACUUGGAUUUGACUUGAUGAGUAAACUUGAACUUCACGUAAGACAUUCGCGUUUGGCCUGCUCGGCCAUUCGGCGUCGCCAUUAUUACUUUUGGUAAUAACACAGCUUCUCAGAUUGAGACGUCGCAAUCCUCUCAAAUUAUUUGGCGUUUGGGGUUCAUUUGGGCUCCCCCGUACGUAGGCGCCCUUUACGAAUGGGUGAAUAUUCCUGAUGUCACGAAAUUGAACUUUUCUUUUUGGAUUUACCCAUUGUUUUGUUGUAAGCUAUUUCAUUUAUCUGACACUCGGGUCCAGGGUGUUAAGAAACGCUCAACCUCCCCAUUCUUCCUGCAAAGCCAUACAUAUUUUGGUCGGCUCUCUUUAUAAUAUUAGCUUAGUACCAGCUGAAAGCGGAGUCUUGGUCCUUUAGUCCUUCUCAGCUCACGGAGGUUAGGUACGAUAACACGUGAAGUACACCGUCGCCAUUCCAAGUGCAGCAGAGUGCAGCCUUGACAUUUGGAAGCGCUUGGAUCAAUGAAUACAAAUGACACGUGCAAGUAACUGGUAGGAUGAGUCAGCGGGUAGCAUCGGCGCCGUUAGCGCCGAGAUACAGCAAUCCUAAGUAACGAAACGGCUUUUGUAUCGCACUCUGAAGGCAGUGAGGAAUGCGUAUGCACUGUUCACAUGUGCGGGCGGAAAGAAGCUGCACAUGAAAAGCAACUGCCGGCUGUAAGUUGGGCAGUCCAACAACUCAGUAGCCCCAUAACGAGGCAUGACUUUUACACUACUGCUGCUUAAGCAGCACAAAACUUCGCAACGUUUCCUUGUCCAAGCUGCAAGAACAGACUUCUCCGCCCACCCUUACGCCCGCCUGAAGCCAAUAAGAAGUUUCACCAAUUCGUUUGUCUAGCAGUAUAGUUGAUCAUGAAACGGGGGCCACACUUAGCCGUACACCACCACAUCCCACGCAGUACAAGAAAGGACAUAAUGCUUUAGUACCACAGAUAUCCAUUAUGCUGCACAAAGUAGGCCUUUCAUGAAAUGGCGUCUUACCCCACGGACCACCGGAUCCCAUUUAGGCCUCAGCUCAGUCUGGCUCAGUCCUCUUAGAAUCAGCAAAGCGCCGGAUCCCUCGGGUCCCAUUUCUGCAGUCACGAAUACAAGUAUCGCGAAAAGGUGGUCUUGAUGGUAGCCAAACUAGGAUCUGCAAUUGGUUGGCAGCUGUAGUAGCUGAUAUACAGAACAGGAAUGAACGCAGAACAGGAAAGAUUAAUAAGCAUUAAGUACAAAGAGGUCUAACAGAAUUUCGGGAGCUAUUUACAGUGACUAGGUAUUUCAAUUGACAACUAGACAUCGUGCAUUUAAAAUAUCCUAAUUCGACACUGACGGAUUUGACGUUUCAUAAUUCUUGGCGAAUUGAAACUGUUUCUGGAACAUUAAUCAGCUAGGCGCAUUCACAGAAGUGUUUUUUUCCAUGUUUGUUUGCCUGUUUUUCAGUCUGAGUGGAGGAAUAGGUUUUUAGUCGCGGAAAUAUAAGUAUUUCAAAUCUAUAAGGCGCGGGGGGUCCAUUUUUGGCUGGAGGAAUGAACUUGCAAGUUCCGUACAAUUGUACGGUCGGAACAACUAAUCUUAAUUUUCAGGACCACGAACAUUUUUUUAUUCCUGAAUUCGGAAUAUAUCCUGCAUUACUAGCUGGCACCAGUUUUUUUUUCAUUUUUGCCGGUUAAUUUUCCAGUCCGAACGGAGGAAUAGGUUUUUAGUCGCGGGAAUAAAAGUAUUCCAAACCUGUAAGGCGCUGGGGGGGGGCUCCCUCCGAUGCCCCCAGACCCCCCCGAUGAGUUACAGUUUAGUUCGUGCAAACGCCGGCUUUGGGGAAUGUCGCAACACGCGCACACCACAAUCUCUCAAGCACUGAUCGAAUAGAGUUCGUUCACCAUCGUUCGUCUUGCAUCACGUUGAAAGAUAACACUACACGACUUUCCAGGUUGCAGAAGUAAUGAUGCAUAGCAGCAAUGAACCGGAACCACCAAACGCAACCUGUUUCCUGGCCCAUCGCGAUUGUCUCCAUAUGACUGUUUGGCCCGCUCGCUGUUGACAUCCGGAGUGGCGUUGUAGCGACUUUCAGCUGGUCACAGAAAUCUGAGUUUGACUCCUUUGGUCGCGUAUUGUUCCGCGCAUAGCAGGACGAGGCCGAACAUUGCCAUAUCAUUAAUUAGAAACUAUAAACGUGUUGAGAACGGUCAUAUGCUUACGGCGCGACGCAUGUAGGUUUCGAUCUCGCGACGUAAAAACAGAUGUUUUGUGUCUUAUACGAUUUAGCAUCGGUCUGAGAAAUGCUCUAAUGACAGAUAUCUUUUACUAGUUUCUUGUCAGUGUCCGUUGGCCGCUAAGAACCUGGCCCGGAGCUGCGUAAACCGGUAGCUACCAUUGCGUAAUGAAGUAGCUGCUACGCGAAAAGGGUAGCUGCGUCUUACGUUGACCAUACGACAGUGGUACGAAUGGCGGGCGCGUUUGCCAUAUAUAAGGCGCGGCCUGACCGAUGUUUUCUAGGGGACAAUCGAACCAUACAAAUCCCGCGCACGGUAGCAGAACGCACCGGCCGAGGAAGUUUGUAAUGAGUAUCGCCCUCACUUGGCGUGGAUGACUCCACCCAUUUUAUCCUGUCAACAACCGGCAAAGUUCCAACCUGACGGUGGGCCUAGUGGCCCAAGCAGUAAAACUCUGCUCACAUCAGGCUCACAAUCACACCUGGGCCUGCAGUCUCAGGACAAAACUCUGAUUCUGCUUCCGCUCGUGCACACAAAUCUCGAUCCUAUCUCGCUUAAGACAAUCUACUGGUAUCGAUUCCUUUCUAUAAACGAUCCUGGGCGCCCCGGUGUGUCCAUCCAGCGGUUCCCCAAAACCCGGGAAAGUUUUGGGCUGCCGCUGGGUGCCGCCCGCCGUGGUGCGGCCGGUAUUGAGACUAGGGUUUCAGCCCUGUCUCUAGCUACUUUUGAACAGUCUAUUUGGUGUCCCACUGGUUGUACAACUUGUACGCCAUGGAGAGCCAACAUCAAUCCCACUUUAUCACACACCCUCAUCCCUCGAGCGUCUCGUCUGUGCCUAUCUUCCGGCUAGGUGACAGCGCAUGCCAAUGGGUCGCCAGGGUUGAGAGAUGCGGUGGGAUGUACGGCUGGAGUGAAGAAGCUCAGCUGGACGUCGCCAUCUGCCGCCUAGGAGAUGAGGCCAUCUGCUGGCAAGCCGGCAUGGAAGCGUCUCUCCCCGAUUGGCUUAGCUUUAAGGCCGCAUUAUUGGAAUGAUUUGAUCCGACUCAAGAAGAGUUUUUUAUGUUGAGGAAACGGUCCUCUCCCAACUCGUGUGGUUAUCGACCAGGGGAUUUAACCCUGGGUCUACACGUAACUCUUGGGGAAGACUUAACCCUAAACGUAUGGGACUACCGAUGCAUAUUCGGUAGUUAAGUGGUGCACAUUUGGGCACCGUCAGGACGGCGCAGUGAGAUCGCGGAAUGUACGAAGUUUUCCACUGGCGCCAGUAUUUAGGGCGGUGACCGUGCUUAUUUCUCUCUCACUUACAUCGAGCGGUAUUCCUUUCAGGAAUCUCCUAAAGUCCUGCCGAUCGCUACUAUUACUUUUUACAUUACUUGUAACAGUUUAUCGUGCCCAAUAUCUUCACUGCCGGCAUUCUUUUUCCUAAGUAACAAUCAGCGUCAGCUGCCACCACUCUCGAUUCUUCAACAGGUUAUGAGCCCCGACUAGCGCCGACAGCUAUCAUCCAAUUGUUAUUUCUAUCCCUUAUCGACAAUGGUCAAGGAUAAGCUUGAUGAGCCGCUGGACCUACACAACUACUCCACAUGGCAAAUCAGGUUUAGCGUGAUGUGCAUGGAGCUUGGGCUUGAGCAGGCUUUGCUCGCCGAACCGUGCAACCAGGAGCAGAUUCGUCAAUCACGGAAAGUCGUCAAUCUGCUGAUCAAGAACGUCACCGUAGCUGCUCGUAGCGCAGCGAACAGUGAAGCGGAGGGAAGGCAUCUCGGAAUCGCGUCCGUGACCGGCUCGUGUCUGGGGCUCGUGGAUAGUCGCGCUCGAUUGGAUGGUUCCGGAGCUUCGCGGUUGCUCACGUUUUUCGUUAGCGCGCGCCCUCUUCACGCUCAGAGGUCGCGGGUUCGAGUCGCACACCGCGAAUUUCGAGUUGCACACCGAAACGUGAGGACGCGAGGACGACAGGUCGCGGGUUCAAACCAUGGGUCGCAUGCGAGGAUGCGAGGAUGCGAGGAUGCGAGGAUGCGAGGAUGCGAGGAUGCGAGGAUGCGAGGAUGCGAGGAUGCGAGGAUGCGAGGAUGCGAGGAUGCGAGGAUGCGAGGAUGCGAGGAUGCGAGGAUGCGAGGAUGCGAGGAUGCGAGGAUGCGAGGAUGCGAGGAUGCGAGGAUGCGAGGAUGCGAGGAUGCGAGGAUGCGAGGAUGCGAGGAUGCGAGGAUGCGAGGAUGCGAGGAUGCGAGGAUGCGAGGAUGCGAGGAUGCGAGGAUGCGAGGAUGCGAGGAUGCGAGGAUGCGAGGAUGCGAGGAUGCGAGGAUGCGAGGAUGCGAGGAUGCGAGGAUGCGAGGAUGCGAGGAUGCGAGGAUGCGAGGAUGCGAGGAUGCGAGGAUGCGAGGAUGCGAGGAUGCGAGGAUGCGAGGAUGCGAGGAUGCGAGGAUGCGAGGAUGCGAGGAUGCGAGGAUGCGAGGAUGCGAGGAUGCGAGGAUGCGAGGAUGCGAGGAUGCGAGGAUGCGAGGAUGCGAGGAUGCGAGGAUGCGAGGAUGCGAGGAUGCGAGGAUGCGAGGAUGCGAGGAUGCGAGGAUGCGAGGAUGCGAGGAUGCGAGGAUGCGAGGAUGCGAGGAUGCGAGGAUGCGAGGAUGCGAGGAUGCGAGGGCACAAGGACGCGUGAGCGUGUGGACACAUGGGUGUAUGGGACCGUGGCACCGUGGAUGUAGCCACACGUGGAUGUAGCCACACAUGGACGCGUGGACGUGGGACAUGAGGAUGUAACAUGGGCGUGUGCAUGAAGCGUGGAAACGUGCAUGUGUACCGUGAACAUGUGGCCGGGGACACGUGGAUACUGGGCCGUCAGGCCAUGGGGACGACUGGGUGCGGUGGUGGGUAACGAACAACAGACGUGCGUAGUUCUGUUGUUCGACAUGAACUUGCAAGGUUAAACUUUUAUCACAAAAUAUCAGGAUAACCGGGGACGCCUGGGCGUGGCUGUGGGUACUUCCACAUAGUUCCACUGUGGGACAGGACUUGCAGUGGAAAACUAGACUACAACGGCUCCACCACGAAAUGACGUGAAGUCGCGCACACCGCAACAUUCCCCGGGAUAAAUUCAGUCGCAGAAAUUCUAUAGAAUCAUACGGAUUCAGAAUACAUUCUAUCAACCAGCGAUGCUGUGCAGCACAGUUAUUGUAUAGAAGUAAUGUGUGCCAUUGGCCCUCGAGUGCAUUUAUUAAUUUUGUCAAACGGAUCCAGGAUAAAAUUUAUCAUACGGAUUCAGGAUAAAAUUCUACCAAACCGCGGUGCUGCGCAACAUACAUGCAUAUUGUAUCGAUGUACUGUGUUCCAUUGGCCCUCAACUGCAUUUCUUGAGGAUAGGAGGAUAACCUGUCGCGACAUCAGUCUGACCGGCCAUUUCUAUGGACAAUUCUGGUUCCGGUAAGGAGUCCUGGUUGGGACUGAUGCCCGUGAUGUUGCUCCAUCUCCUGCAUGGGCGGUAGACUAGUAAUCCUCUUCCUGACAUCACGCAGGAUGUCGGCGGUUAGGUACAGUUGCAGGUGGAGGCUCGUGGCUUCUGAGCUUGACGGGCCGGACUCAAGCCACACCUUCCCCCCCGACACCCCAGCUGUCCAGUGUGGAUGCAACCAGAAAGGCGCAGGCGUGAGCCAACCGGACGCCUGAGCAAGUGGCGGCGGAUCGAGCAGCAGCUGCAGCGUGAUGGGCAGAUGCGCGAGCCAACCGGACACCUGAGCAAGUGGCAGCGGACCGAGCAGCAGCUACUGCUCGGUGGGCGCGGUGGUCGGAGGUGCGAGCCAACCGAACACCUGAGCAGGUGGCCACACAUCGAGCAGCACAUGCAGCUCGGGUAGCAGAGGCACGAGCCAACUGAACGCCUGAGCAAGUGGCGGCAGACCAAACAGCAGACGCAGCUCGGAAGCGUCAAGCCCGUGUGAUUCAGCAACAGUCAUCUGAGGAGCACACACCACAACGCACCCGCCGCAGCAGGGGUAGCCUUGUGGAGGCAGUUUUGGAUGCUGCCUUCUGGCUGUUCAGGCGGCCGACAAACCCCACCAAGCCUCGUAUGGGUGCCUGGUUAGACAGCAGUACAGCUUCAUGGCCGGAACAUGUGCAAGAUGUUCCUGCGGGUCAGCCUCUGCCCACUGUUCCUCUAGUAGAACAGAUCCGAGUCGCCGAACAGCUUGAUGCCGCUGUCAAACACAACAUGCCAUUGUGUGUCUGCACCUGCUGCAGCGAGAUGAAGUCCGCGGUACAGGCACACGGCUACCGGUUUGGUGACAUCCCCAACGUGCACCAGUUGCGUGCAGAUGUUUGGAGGACACUGGCAGUGGCGUGUCCAGCUCAAGUCGUCGCAUGGCUACCAGUGGCAGCCGCACCAUGGGGCAGAGCACCACCACCACCUGAGCCAGCUUUGCCGUGGGGCUUCCGAAAGACGUGGCUCAAUGGGCAUUCUACGGAGAAGACGGGGCUCACCAAGCAUCCUGGUACAACAGGGGACUCUGGUGGUUCAGAUGACCAAGAGCACCGCCAGCCCACCCAGCAGCGCAGUUCGUUGCAACAGGCGCGGGACCAUUUGAGCAACACUGGAGCAUACGGCUUCCCGGAGGACUUUCCGCCGCAUGAGGCGGGCCCAUCUAGUCUGCCACGGCGGCAUCGGCGUGAGACGGAUGGUGUUGACGAGGAGCAGGAGUCUAUUCUUUCCGAUGAAGAAGUGGAAGUGGAUGCGACACGGCCACAAGACACGGACGGCCAGCAUGAGGAAUGGAUGCUCCCUUCGUGGCCGCCACAACCUGGCAUGAAGCCACGGCCGGAUCCCACUGCUCCGGGUGUGUGGCUAGUGCCGUACUGCAUGUGUGUGGAGCGCUCUGGGGAGAAUUGUACGGUGCACACCAACGAGGCUGGCGAUGACAUCAUCAUGAUGUGCAACGACUGCAUUCAUGCCUUGGAAUGUAAGCACUAAACACUGGGUCGGGGGAACGAAUGUGUGGCAACGUAUGUAUUUGAUGGGUUUUGGCGGCUGCUUUCCUGUGGGAUGUUGUUCGUUGUGGCCGGUUCUGGGGUAGGCUGCUGGGACAUACGCGUUUCAUGAGAAUUUGCAUGUGGUGCUUUCGUUGCCGAUCAUGUGUGCUGGGUGUUCAUGCAUGCGCGCACGCCACCGCACUGGUUAUUCUGGCUGGUCUGCCCUGCCUGUGGCUGCUGCCUCCGCAUCCAGGCCAACGCAUCCCGUAGCCUGCCCUCGCACGCUAUGAUGGUGGAGACGUGCCGGAAAUCAAUCAGGACGGGCAGCGUCUGGAGUGGCCUGCCGUGCUGGAAGCCAACAUACCGGGGCUGGGCCAUGCCCAGCAGCACAUCUAAUGUAAUGUAAUGUAAUGUGAUGUAAUGUAAUGUAAUGUAAUGUAAUGUAAUGUAAUGUAAUGUAAUGUAAUGUAAUGUAAUGUAAUGUAAUGUAAUGUAAUGUAAUGUAAUGUAAUGUAAUGUAAUGUAAUGUAAUGUAAUGUAAUGUAAUGUAAUGUAAUGUAAUGUAAUGUAAUGUAAUGUAAUGUUACAGAGUGGGAGGCUUCUGGGCCGCUUUAUCACAUUGUCAGUUCUAGAUCAUUUAUCACCUUAUAGCACCAUCCACCACUACCACACUGUACUUCGCCAUACGAACUGUAAGUCCAAGGCGGUGGGUCCAGCCUUCAGGGACCCCUCCUCAUCCAUUCACCCGAACACCCGAAGAGACGGAGGGUUCGGCAAUCGCCACCAAUCCAGCGUGCGAAUCUGGUCCAUCAACUGUGACCUCAACUCCACAUCUCAGCAGCUAGCCAUAAUCUCGCGCUCCCGACUAAUUCGGGGGUCUCCCCAGGAAUCAAACCCAGGACCUUAAACCGCUAAUUGCAGUAGU
RNAcentral lists this long non-coding RNA (27237 nucleotides) under Volvox carteri. Its description in RNAcentral is "long non-coding RNA (VCAR_LNC001974)". The record is from RNAcentral. Lineage: Eukaryota; Viridiplantae; Chlorophyta; Chlorophyceae; Chlamydomonadales; Volvocaceae.